This 251-nucleotide ribosomal RNA is filed under the name uncultured bacterium. RNAcentral's name for it is "partial 16S ribosomal RNA". It matches the Rfam family "Bacterial small subunit ribosomal RNA", at positions 524 to 776 of the family's 1533-position model. The record is from RNAcentral.
UACGGAGGGUGCAAGCGUUAUCCGGAUUCACUGGGUUUAAAGGGUGCGUAGGUGGGCAGUUAAGUCAGUGGUGAAAUCUCCGGCUCAACCCGGAAACUGCCAUUGAUACUAUCUGUCUUGAAUAUCGUGGAGGUAAGCGGAAUAUGUCAUGUAGCGGUGAAAUGCUUAGAUAUGACAUAGAACACCAAUUGCGAAGGCAGCUUACUACCCGAAUAUUGACACUGAGGCACGAAAGCGUGGGAUCAAACAGG